CGGGCGGGCCGGGUGAUCGCUGGCCUGGUCAUCGCGAGAUGGCUGGGCGGGAGGAAAGUCCGGACACCGUCCUGAGGCACGCUCUUCACUUUGUGAGGGGCGGAACUCUUGACAGGGCAACGCGCCUGGUAACGCCAGGGGGCUUGCCACGCAGGGUCUGCCGGAAGGCAGAGUUACACGCUUCGGCGUGUGGCGCCGGGUUCAACCCGACGCGGUGCGGCUGAGCUACGGAAAGUGCCACAGAGAAUAGACCGCCGGCGGAGCGCAGCACGGUGGCAUCGCGCAGGGAAACCUGCGAGACGUCUUCGAAAUGCACGCAACGUUUGGCAAGGGUGAAAAGGUGGGGUAAGAGCCCACCGCUCCGGUGGCGACACCGGAGGCACGGAAAACCCCGCGUGGUGCAAGGCCAAAUAGGAGGGGAGAGCCGGCCCGGCUCGUCAGAACCCUCGGGUAGGCUGCUGGAGUCACGGUGCGAAUCGUGACCUAGAGGAAUGAUCGCCGCGAUACGCAGUUCGCUUCGCGAAUUGCGCGCCGCACAGAAUCCGGCUUACAGGCUCGUCCGCCAU
RNAcentral lists this RNase P RNA (566 nucleotides) under Acidobacteriota bacterium. RNAcentral describes it as "Acidobacteria bacterium RNase P RNA component class A". It matches the Rfam family "Bacterial RNase P class A". Rfam says of the family: Ribonuclease P (RNase P) is a ubiquitous endoribonuclease, found in archaea, bacteria and eukarya as well as chloroplasts and mitochondria. Its best characterised activity is the generation of mature 5'-ends of tRNAs by cleaving the 5'-leader elements of precursor-tRNAs. Cellular RNase Ps are ribonucleoproteins. The record is from RNAcentral. Lineage: Bacteria; Pseudomonadati; Acidobacteriota.